RNAcentral lists this ribosomal RNA (253 nucleotides) under uncultured bacterium. RNAcentral describes it as "partial 16S ribosomal RNA". It matches the Rfam family "Bacterial small subunit ribosomal RNA", at positions 524 to 776 of the family's 1533-position model. The record is from RNAcentral.
UACGGGGGGGGCGAGCGUUGUUCGGAAUUACUGGGCGUAAAGGGCUCGUAGGCGGCCUACUAAGUCGGACGUGAAAUCCCUCGGCUCAACCGGGGAACUGCGUCUGAUACUGGAAGGCUUGAAUCCGGGAGAGGGACGUGGAAUUCCAGGUGUAGCGGUGAAAUGCGUAGAUAUCUGGAGGAACACCGGUGGCGAAGGCGGCGUCCUGGACCGGUAUUGACGCUGAGGAGCGAAAGCCAGGGGAGCAAACGGG